GUUUUUGUUCAAGUGGGAACUUG
This 23-nucleotide non-coding RNA is filed under the name Cricetulus griseus (Chinese hamster). The record is from RNAcentral. Lineage: Eukaryota; Metazoa; Chordata; Mammalia; Rodentia; Cricetidae.